AACCAUGAGAUCAUGACCCGAGCUGAAAUCAGGAGUCAGACAUUUAACUGACUGAGCCACAUAGGCACCCCAUCCUCUCGUGUUUUUUAGAUGAGCAUUGCUAUUGGUUUCUUUUGGACCAGAGCUUGAUUGUACAGAUUUUAUAAGUUUCAUUCUGGGAUGGAAGCUGUAUAUGAAAUGGUGAUUCUCAGAAAGACAUCUGAACAGCUGCAGACCUCUAAUAGUAUUACUUAGUUCCUCGCCCUUCUCAUCAGUAGCAUGUUUCCCUUACUAUCACAUUGUCUCCCAAAUUCAGAGAGGAAGCUUUACCCUCUAAACCCCAUUCAGGGAUGAAAUGGCCCUUGUUGUGACUAUCUCAAUUGUUUUAUUUGUUGAAUGAAAAAAUGAAUCAUCAACAGACAUUAAUUGGGCUCCUGCUCUGUGUUCUCCAUGGACUCAGCGUAGGGAUUUUACAACGUUUGUGGUUAUAUCUCUAAGCAAAAUACAUUCAGUAAUAAAAAAUCUAAACAUAUUCAGUUUUCAUUUCCUCUUUUCUUAAAGCAAUAUAAAAAUGUUCUUUGGACAAUUCUCCAUUUAAGGCUCAGAGUAGUGAACUUACGGAUUCAGAGAAUGGAUUUCUGUGACUAGAAUGAUUAAUGGGAGAUUAUAUUUUAGACCUUAUGUAUUUUCAGUGGACCUUAUGUAAGUAGCCAUCCUAGAGGGCAGUAAGGGGAAGAAGGAUUGGGAGAGGAAGCUCUGAGUAAAACAGCAAAGCAGUACGGUAAGAGUCUGGGCCUUGGGACUAAAUAGCCUAGGCUCAAAUCUGCUCCUGAAUGCUCACCAGUGUGGUGUUGAGCAUGUUUUGUCGUCUCUCUGGGACUUGCCUCUCUUAUUUAAAGUAGGGGUAACAAUUUCUUCUGUGAUGAUUUGGGUGGGGAAGGGGGUGGGUGUAAGGAUUUAAUGGGAUUAUUUAUGUGCAUUGCUUAGAACAAGUCUGGAAUGAGCUAAAUGCUAUUAUCAACUGUCAUUGCUGCUGAUAAUGAUGUUGACCAUGUCUGGGAUUAAAAGAAGAUAGUUAACCAGAGGUGCUUAUGUUUUACAUUGUCAAUGAGGCUCUUGGGGUGUGAGAAAGAAAGGGAAACUAACUGACCUGAAGGUUUUCAAUGGUAUGCUAGUAUGAAGUCAACUCUGCCUUCUUUUUCUUCUCUGCCAAAUAGGUUGGGAAACCAGAUGAAUUUUGUCCAUGCCCUGAUCACUAAUCUAUUGCCUUUGCUCUUAUUUCCAAAUAGAAACCUGUUGAAAAGUUGUGUUACACCUGAAUAAAGGUUGUGCUAAAAAUGUAGAAAAAUGCUUUGGAGUUGGUCAAAACUGGACUUGAAACCUGACUCAACUGCUUACUAGCUGUGUGAUCUAAGGCAUGUUACUUAACCUCACUGAACCUCAGUUUCUUCAUUGAAUAUAAUAAUUAAUUUGCAGGGUUUUUCUGAGGAUAUUUGUGAAAUGUAUGUCAUAAGCACUCUCUAAGUCAUAGCUGUCAUUGUUAGUUCUUGGGAUACCCACCACGUGACAGAAACAACAGCAGGCCCUGGUGGCUGGGAGGACUGCAUGGAUCCAACCUCAACCUGGAGUUGUGCUCUUCUGAAGAAAUCCUACUCGGAUGGAUAUAAUACAACCUGCUAAGUGUCCUCGCACUUAUCAGGUUGUAUUAUCAUUGUCCGUGUCUAUGGCUCUCGUCUACCAGACUCUAAAUUCCUUACAGGCAAGGACAGUGCCUUGUUCAUCUUUGUAUUCGGUGCCUAAUCCCGUGCACAUUGUAGGCCUCAUUAAAUGUUUGUUGAAUGAAAAAAUGAAUCAUCAACAGACAUUAAUUGGGCGCCUGCUCUGUGAUCUCCAUGGGCUCAGCUUUUCCCUGCCAGUUGCCUACAACGUCCAAGCUGUCUUCAGUAUACUUUCUCCUGGAGCUUACUUCUAUCUUCUCACUCUUUUGCUGAGGACUUUUUCUGUGUAGUGCAAGGAUAGCAGAUAUACUUCAUCUCAAGUACCAUCUCAAUCGGUCGAUAGUACCUGCCUCGAUUAUGUUUCACAAAAAGGAUGCUGAAGCCAGGUCUCAGUUCAGUGCGAAAGAGAGUUACAAUUAAUUAGUGAUGUUUGCUGAGGGUGGGAGAAGGGUGAAUAGCAGCCUAAGUGCCGCAUAUAUGUUAUAUUUAAUAUUAUGUUUUCCAUGAAAUACUCUGUUUCUAUGCCUGCAUUUUAGUCUUGGCUACUUGCAGAUGUUGCAUGGCUGCUGUUGCUGCUGCUGCUGCCGCUACUACUACAACAGUUGCUGCUGGUUGCUCCUUGGGUAGGACCAAAGUGAUCAUUGAUCAGAAACUUCAUCCUCACAGUCUGGGAUUUGCUCCUGUGGCUGGUAUUCACAGUUUACCCUUUCAACUUUACCUCAGCUAUCCCCUUACCUACAGUGACAGGUAGGCCUCCACUUUCCAUUUACCACUCAACAGGCUCCUAUUUCCUUUUCCUUCUUUAGUCUGAUUAAUGACUCUUGUUCGAUGAGAAGCCUUCUUUCUGGUAGAAGAUGCGACAACUAGAGUACAAGCUAAAAGAUUCCGUCAGGGCACUACAGUGAGUCGUAUAAACUUCCCUUUAAUGUGGGAGAAAACAGAGUGUGCUUGAAGAUUUGGGGGCAGGAAGAACAGAGAAGGGAGUCGUUGUUGGGGGAGAGAAAGAUGCUAACAGAUGGAAUAAGUUUCUGAAAAAUGAUGGAGUGAGGGAGGGUGAAACGUAUGGCUCUCAAAUAUGUAUGGGGAGAGGGAAAGUCUCAGAUGAAAGUAAUUACCUCCACACUGGAGCAUAGGGAUAGGAGUCAGGAGGAACAUGUGACAAGGGUGUUGAAAAUUUGUAAUUCUUGAGGUGGAUGAUGGAGAGGAAGCUGACCAGAGAGGAUUAUGGGGACAAACAAGAGUCCAACGGAUAUUUGGGCCAAAAGGCUAGAGUGGGGCCUUUCAGUCUAUUAAAAUGAGAUACUAUUAUAUUAAAAUUGUAUAUUAAAGUGAGAAACUGGAAACUCAGGAAACUUUAAAGGGAUCUUGGGCCACCCAUCACAAGUAACUUGAUUGCCUGGGACUGACCUUUAUUGGUUGAGGGAUGGACAGCUAGCAAGAGAGGGGCUACACAGAAAUGAAUUUGAAACUCCAGACUAUAUGUGGAAGGAAGUUAGAUCAGAAGUGAGCUCAAAGUCUGUGAAUGAAAAAAGGCCCUAGUGUGAUCAAGAUGGGUGUUGGGUAGUUGGAAAAUUGGAAUGAUAGAACCUGUAAAAAGUGGAUUUUGAGAUUUUAAGAUUGCAAAGCCGGAGGGGUCAAGAUAACUUGUGAAGCAAGGAUGUCAGAUGGCCAGUUACAUAAAUACUGAAGUGACCAAGAACUGUAGCAAAAGCCAAGCUGGGAAUGAAUGCUGGGGGCCAGAUAUAACAGGCUUCGAUGCCUGAGGAAUGAUUUAGAGAUUGGUACAUGGCAACUGUGUAGGUGCAAGAAAAGAAGGAUGUAGUGGGAUAGUUGUAUGAGCCACGGAAGAGUGGUAGGGAUCAUUAGAAGUUACCAAAACCAGGAUCUGCACAUUGCACUGAGGCCUUGGCUUGCAGAAUGCUGAGCUAAAAUGAUCCCGUCCUCUAUCCGGUGCUUGGCUCUAUACCCAGCACCUUGCUGUUUGCUAACCAUUUACCCCUUCUGGGUCUGUCACAUAUCAGGUGUGAGAGAAUGAGCAGCAUUCCCAAGCAAGGACAGCUAGGGGAGCUGCUGGCCCUUGGAACUGAUGGAAUACUGUGGUCGUCUCAAUAGACUGGUCAGCUUAAAGUGGCAUCAAAAGAUUUCGUUCAGACCCAGAUUUUUCCUUGACCUUGACCUAACUUUAUCCACAUGGUACAAGCUUGUGUUGGCUGUUCAUAAUGAACUUUGGCUUCUGAGCCUCUAACUUGAGAAAUAUGCUAGAACUGUCCUUUAAAAAACAACAGGCACAGUACGUUAAAAAUACAGAUUGAUUAGCUAGAACCAGAGGGUCUUGUUACCUAAUUGAGCUUUUAAGAUAAAGGAUAGACCAAAGAAAGCUCCCAUCAAUGGGUGAGUAACAACAACACUUGGUGACAACUACUCUAAGAUCAGGAUACAUCUAGUUUAGUGGCCAUAUUGUACAUCCCUGUGCUGUUGGGAAGGAGAGCUGGAAAUUGAUUCAGAGAGAUGUCCCUUAGGACUUGGUAUGUAAAGUUUAGGAGAAAGUUUCUGUGAAUCCUGUGACAUUGCAUGUCAUCGUUUUUCCUCUGUUACAGUCUUUGAAUGAGUCAAUAUUUCAAUGAAGGGGUAGGAGCCCCUGAGAUAGAGUGCCCAGACCCUCAGAUGAUGCAUCCCCUCCUUUGGAGGCCGCUUUAUAUUUAUUCCUCAGGAGGAUCUGGUAGAAGACUUCAUGUGAGAGAGAAGAAAAAGAAGCAGAGAAUGACUACAGCCUGUCUUCAUAUGGGCUUCACAAAACUUGACUCAACAGAGGGAUCACUCUCUUGAGACUCUCCAGACCACAGGCCAUCUGUAACAGCCUUCAUCUGAGAGGAGCCUUGUUGUGAAUGAGUGAAUGAAGCCUCAGUGAGUGAGUGGAGUGACAUCCAUGUUUUUCUAUGGAUAUAAGGAGAAAUAAGGAAGCUAUGAAAUCUCAUUAUGAAGUAACAAAAAUUUGACAUUUUAGUGGAUAUUGGACCUAGAGGCCUACAUGAAUGAAGGAAGCAAACCUGACAUUCUGAUGUCUGAGUGAAGAUAGGAGUGAACUCCUUAUUGCCCUUAGUAAUGGAGGAAGAGAGGGGAGAAAAAUGUGGGAGGUCAUAACAAUUCUUCACUUCAGUGGAGGAAGUGCUAAGACUUACUUCAUAAACCAGUAACUUCUUAAGGUGGAUUGGAGAAGAGUUGUUGCACUGCACUAUUUCUUUUGCUAUUUGUGUGAAGUCACUGCCAAGCACUCUUCUCAGGUAGAGCUGCCUUUGUGGAGGUUUCCAUUGACUCCUAAUGAGGAACAACCUGGAACAAGGUUUGCAACUUAGAACUCGGAGUUUUAAAGGGGUCGAGGACAGAGGAGAUAACACAGGUAGCGCCAGAUAGCCUAGUUUUUCCUAUAGGAUGGGUAGGGUAGAGGCAGCAGGCACAAUGAUUCUAGGCAACUCCAAACCCCUGGCAAGGCAUAAGGAAACCGUACAUAAUGAAAGGUCAGCCCUUAGACCUAUUGAUUUGUCAUUCCCCAGAGCAUGAUAUAUUAUCUAGAAGAACAAGGAGAGCUGCUUAGGAGAAGAUUCUAAAAGAUCUUUCAGAGAACAGAUUUAGAAGAGGGAGAGCUUCCCAUUAUGUAAUAUGGGCAUUACAGCUUUUAAAGACCUCUGUUCCCUACCUAGAUCACAGAGGUUGAUACUAGUGUCAGUCUGUAGCUGAAUAGACCAGUGUUAGUUUAGAAGUAUCAUGCUCUUGGAAAGAUCCUGCCACUCUCUCUGACAGGUGUUCAGCUGCAAUACAAGUCUAGUACUUGAAGAAGCAAAGAGGAUAACAAGCCUCCAGGGGAUGACAGUUCAGUCUUCUAAGUGAACAUAGCAACAGAAGAGAUCACAGACUUAGCUGGAUUGGGCUGAGCUUGUUUGUUCGUUCAAAAUUUAAAAAAGACUUUUUUUUCUUGAUGAUAAAAGUAACAUGAUCACUGUUGAAAAAUGAAAUGAAUGGUAUAAAUUAAAAAGUAAAGAACUCCUGUACUCUUACAACCGAGAAAACAACUGAACAUUUGAGUGUGUUUCCCUUUACUCUUGUAAAAAGGAGUGUAUGGAACAGAAUUAUUAAAGUUUUUAUUUUAAUUCCAGUUAGUCAACAUACAGCGGUCUGUUUCACGUGUAUAACUUAAAA
Molecule: long non-coding RNA, 5891 nt
Organism: Hyaena hyaena (striped hyena)
Lineage: Eukaryota; Metazoa; Chordata; Mammalia; Carnivora; Hyaenidae
Exons: 2
Source: RefSeq, a predicted model, not a curated record